CACGUAGGGCGCAAGCGUUGUCCGGAUUGACUGGGCGUAAAGCGCACGCAGGCGGUUGCGCGCGUGGGGUGUGAAAUCUGGCCGCUUAACGGCCAGGCGCCAUCCCAUACGGCGCGACUGGAGUGAUGCAGAGGUCGAUGGAAUUGCCGGUGUAGUGGUGAAAUGCGUAGAGAUCGGCAGGAACACCCAGGGGGAAACCAGUCGACUGGGCAUCUACUGACGCUGAGGUGCGAGAGCGUGGGGAGCGAACCGG
Molecule: ribosomal RNA, 253 nt
Filed under: uncultured bacterium
Lineage: Bacteria
Description: partial 16S ribosomal RNA
Rfam family: Bacterial small subunit ribosomal RNA
Source: RNAcentral